This 253-nucleotide ribosomal RNA is filed under the name uncultured bacterium. RNAcentral describes it as "partial 16S ribosomal RNA". It matches the Rfam family "Bacterial small subunit ribosomal RNA", at positions 524 to 776 of the family's 1533-position model. The record is from RNAcentral.
UACGUAGGGUGCGAGCGUUAAUCGGAAUUACUGGGCGUAAAGCGUGCGCAGGCGGUUCGUUGUGUCCGAUGUGAAAGCCCCGAGCUUAACUUGGGAAUGGCAUUGGAAACUGGCGAGCUGGAGUGCGGCAGAGGGGGGUGGAAUUCCACGUGUAGCAGUGAAAUGCGUAGAGAUGUGGAGGAACACCGAUGGCGAAGGCAGCCCCCUGGGCCGACACUGACGCUCAGGCACGAAAGCGUGGGGAGCAAACAGG